This 395-nucleotide unclassified non-coding RNA is filed under the name soil metagenome. RNAcentral's name for it is "partial contains 5.8S ribosomal RNA, internal transcribed spacer 2, and large subunit ribosomal RNA". The stretch from base 1 to 120 matches the Rfam family "5.8S ribosomal RNA", at positions 35 to 154 of the family's 154-position model. The record is from RNAcentral.
GAUGAAGAACGUAGCGAAAUGCGAUAAGUAAUUUGAAUUGCAGAAUUCAGUGAAUCAUCGAAUCUUUGAACGCACCUUGCGCCUUUUGGUAUUCCGAAAGGCACACCUGUUUGAGCGUCAUGAAUACCUCAAUCUCCAUCUUUUCUUCGGAUUGAUGGGUGACUUGGAUGUUGAGCCCUGCUGGUAUGCUAUAUCAGCUGGCUUUAAACUUAUUAGCCGGCUCUGUACUGGAUCGGUUUGACUCGACGUGAUAAUAUUAUCGUUGAGGAUGCAUGUCUCAUGCAGCCGGAAAGUAUCAAAGCAGCUUCUAGCUUGCCUUUAGUGCACUUUUACAUUUUAGACCUCAGAUCAGGUGGGACUACCCGCUGAACUUAAGCAUAUCAAUAAGCGGAGGA